UUCACCUUAACAUACACACAACAACAAAACCCUAAGACACAAGAGAACAACCAUCAGUCGUCACUCCAUAGAAACCAAACCAGCUACGCCGCCACGCCACCAAGCUCGCCGGACAUCCGGCAACAAUCUCCGGUAAUAAUCGCCACCCCAACUCCCUCUAAAAUCCUCUGUCGACCAGCCAAACAACCACCCAAAUAACCCCACCUUCAGCCGCGACCUGCUUCUUCACCUCACUCAAACGACCAUCACUCCACCAUUUCCGCCACCCAAACUCACCGAAAAAGGGACAGCAGCAGUCGCACCAUCUUCUUCAGCCAAAACAACUGCCACUGCCGCCAGUAGCAAAUCCUACGGACCAGCGACCUCCUAGUUCCCUCAUCUUCCAUUAACACACAUACUCAUACAAGAACACAAAAAAAAACAGAGGGUGAAGAUGAAUUUCAGACAAAUUUUGGAUAGAAAAGAAAUGGUGUUCUUUGAUCACUGAUUCGUUUUUUAUACUAGAAAAUUGAAAAAAUAAAAAGGUUUCAAUAGUCUUAUUUUGAUUUCCAUCUCCGGCUCGUUAUGGAACUUGUUUGAAUUUUGUUGGUCCGAGUUCCCUGUUCUUGUUCGAGAUCGGUCGCCAUUGAGAUUCCGUCCACGGUCCGUCAUAUUUUUGAAUGCAAAGCUCCCUCAUAAAUAAUUUUCCGAUUCAUUUGAGGUAUGGAUCAAUUUGUUAGAGUUUGAGCAUGACAAAUACCCCAGGAUCAUUCUAGUCAAGACCAUUGCAUGCACGAGCUGCUUGAGGAAACUUUUUAUUUUUAGUCUAUUUUAUGUUGUCUUUUAAUUAUUAGUCUUGUACAGUAGUAUUGAGUCUGUCAGUCUAGUUAAGAUUUUCGAGUCUUUUGUUAUAAUAUUUCCUGUUUUGUAUUUGAAAAAAAAAUUAUAAAUGAAAAAUUCAAAAAGAUUUGUUUUA
Long non-coding RNA from Nicotiana tabacum (common tobacco), 955 nucleotides. RefSeq lists it as uncharacterized. Lineage: Eukaryota; Viridiplantae; Streptophyta; Magnoliopsida; Solanales; Solanaceae. The record is from RefSeq and is a predicted model, not a curated record.